UCUUUGGUGGCCGAGAUAUUUAGGCAGUAGACUGUAGAUCUACCUACGGGAUCAACUCUCUCAAAGAA
This 68-nucleotide transfer RNA is filed under the name Rhinoclavis sinensis. RNAcentral describes it as "tRNA-Tyr". Lineage: Eukaryota; Metazoa; Mollusca; Gastropoda; Cerithiidae. The record is from RNAcentral.